Molecule: ribosomal RNA, 206 nt
Filed under: uncultured bacterium
Lineage: Bacteria
Description: partial 16S ribosomal RNA
Rfam family: Bacterial small subunit ribosomal RNA
Source: RNAcentral
CACGUAGGCGGACUAUUAAGUCAGGGUGAAAUCCCGGGGCUCAACCCCGGAACUGCCUUUGAUACUGGUAGUCUUGAGUUCGAGAGAGGUGAGUGGAAUUCCGAGUGUAGAGGUGAAAUUCGUAGAUAUUCGGAGGAACACCAGUGGCGAAGGCGGCUCACUGGCUCGAUACUGACGCUGAGGUGCGAAAGCGUGGGGAGCAAACA